Molecule: ribosomal RNA, 253 nt
Filed under: uncultured bacterium
Lineage: Bacteria
Description: partial 16S ribosomal RNA
Rfam family: Bacterial small subunit ribosomal RNA
Source: RNAcentral
UACGGGGGGGGCAAGCGUUGUUCGGAAUUACUGGGCGUAAAGGGCUUGUAGGUGGCCAACUAAGUCAGACGUGAAAUCCCCCGGCUUAACCGGGGAACUGCGUCUGAUACUGGAUGGCUAGAGAUUGGGAGAGGGACGCGGAAUUCCAGGUGUAGCGGUGAAAUGCGUAGAUAUCUGGAGGAACACCGGUGGCGAAGGCGGUGUCCUGGACCAACACUGACACUGAAAAGCGAAAGCCAGGGGAGCAAACGGG